This 494-nucleotide ribosomal RNA is filed under the name uncultured bacterium. RNAcentral describes it as "partial 16S ribosomal RNA". It matches the Rfam family "Bacterial small subunit ribosomal RNA", at positions 28 to 507 of the family's 1533-position model. The record is from RNAcentral.
GACGAACGCUGGCGGCGCGCUUAACACAUGCAAGUCGAACGGAAAGGCCUGCUUUCCCUUGUGGAUUGCUUGUACUCGAGUGGCGAACGGGUGAGUAACACGUGAGUGAUCUGCCCCCAACUUGGGUAUAAGCCUGGGAAACUGGGUCUAAUACCCGAUAGGACUGCAGGGUGGUGCCUGUGAUGGAAAACGAUUUUCUAGUGGUUGGUGAUGAGCUCGCGGCCUAUCAGCUUGUUGGUGGGGUAAUGGCCUACCAAGGCGGCGACGGGUAGCCGGCCUGAGAGGGUGCACGGCCACAUUGGGACUGAGAUACGGCCCAGACUCCUACGGGAGGCAGCAGUGGGGAAUAUUGCACAAUGGGCGGAAGCCUGAUGCAGCGACGCCGCGUGGGGGAUGACGGCCUUCGGGUUGUAAACUCCUUUCGACCGAGAGGAAGCCACCUGGUUGGAAGGGUGGUGACGGUAGCGGUAGAAGAAGCACCGGCUAACUACGUG